The submitters of this non-coding RNA (201 nucleotides) gave its source as unclassified sequences. The record is from Rfam.
AUCAUCAGCUAAAGGGCAAACCUUUAAAUAGCUUUUUUAGGCUAUCAUGCAGAACUAAGACUGCAUAAGUGAUGAUGUGUACAUAGAAGCAUUAGGCGCUAUAUAAUGUACUAAUUUAGUUUUUAACUUCUUUACUUGCAUACACAAAGAGUAAAUAAAUUUAGACAAACGUCAGUAAGGAUAGCGCACUUAUUGGCGUUU